RNAcentral lists this ribosomal RNA (292 nucleotides) under uncultured microorganism. RNAcentral's name for it is "partial 16S ribosomal RNA". It matches the Rfam family "Bacterial small subunit ribosomal RNA", at positions 505 to 796 of the family's 1533-position model. The record is from RNAcentral.
GUGCCAGCAGCCGCGGUAAUACGUAUGUCACGAGCGUUAUCCGGAUUUAUUGGGCGUAAAGCGCGUCUAGGUGGUUAUGUAAGUCUGAUGUGAAAAUGCAGGGCUCAACUCUGUAUUGCGUUGGAAACUGUAUAACUAGAGUACUGGAGAGGUAAGCGGAACUACAAGUGUAGAGGUGAAAUUCGUAGAUAUUUGUAGGAAUGCCGAUGGGGAAGCCAGCUUACUGGACAGAUACUGACGCUGAAGCGCGAAAGCGUGGGUAGCAAAACAGGAUUAGAUACCCUGGUAGUCC